This 25-nucleotide microRNA is filed under the name Caenorhabditis remanei. RNAcentral's name for it is "crm-miR-7602". The record is from miRBase by way of RNAcentral. Lineage: Eukaryota; Metazoa; Nematoda; Chromadorea; Rhabditida; Rhabditidae.
UGAGAUUGACCCUUCAGUAGUUACU